RNAcentral lists this ribosomal RNA (633 nucleotides) under uncultured bacterium. RNAcentral's name for it is "bacterial SSU rRNA". The stretch from base 1 to 535 matches the Rfam family "Bacterial small subunit ribosomal RNA", at positions 338 to 873 of the family's 1533-position model. The record is from RNAcentral.
CCUACGGGAGGCAGCAGUAAGGAAUAUUGGUCAAUGGACGCAAGUCUGAACCAGCCAUGCCGCGUGCAGGAUGAAGGCCCUCUGGGUUGUAAACUGCUUUUAUAGGGGACGAAAAAGGGACUUUCUAGUUCAACUGACGGUACCCUAGGAAUAAGCACCGGCUAACUCCGUGCCAGCAGCCGCGGUAAUACGGAGGGUGCAAGCGUUAUCCGGAUUUACUGGGUUUAAAGGGUGCGUAGGUGGGUUGGUAAGUCAGCGGUGAAAUCUUCAAGCUUAACUUGGAAACUGCCAUUGAUACUAUCAAUCUUGAAUCAUCUGGAGGUAAGCGGAAUAUGUCAUGUAGCGGUGAAAUGCUUAGAUAUGACAUAGAACACCAAUUGCGAAGGCAGCUUACUACGGAUGUAUUGACACUGAGGCACGAAAGCGUGGGGAUCAAACAGGAUUAGAUACCCUGGUAGUCCACGCCCUAAACGAUGGAUACUCGACAUACGUGAUAUACUAUGUGUGUUNUGAGAGAAGANAUAAGUAUACCACCGUCGGAGUACGAGUCGACGAGAGUUAGUAACGUAACGAAAGAAAGUUAGUACGGACGUAGAGACGUACGACCGACGGACGACGACGAGGGGAGGAGGG